GACAGAGGUGCCGAGCGUUAGGCGGAAUCACUGGGCUUAAAGCGUGUGUAGGCGGGUCGUUAAGUGUCUUGUGAAAUCCCCCCGGCUCAACCGGGGAAUGGCUGGGCAUACUGGCGAUCUUGAGCAGUCUAGGGGCAGAUGGAACAAGUGGUGGAGCGGUGAAAUGCGUAGAUAUCACUUGGAACGCCAACGGUGAAGACAGUCUGCUGGGGACUUGCUGACGCUGAGACACGAAAGCCAGGGGAGCGAACGGG
Molecule: ribosomal RNA, 254 nt
Filed under: uncultured bacterium
Lineage: Bacteria
Description: partial 16S ribosomal RNA
Rfam family: Bacterial small subunit ribosomal RNA
Source: RNAcentral